GCAUUAAGUGUACCGCCUGGGGAGUACGGUCGCAAGAUUAAAACUCAAAGGAAUAGACGGGGACCCGCACAAGCGGUGGAGCAUGUGGUUUAAUUCGAAGAUACGCGAAGAACCUUACCUGGGCUUGAUAUCCUAAGAACCUUUUAGAGAUAAGAGGGUGCUAGCUUGCUAGAACUUAGAGACAGGUGCUGCACGGCUGUCGUCAGCUCGUGUCGUGAGAUGUUGGGUUAAGUCCCGCAACGAGCGCAACCCACGUAUUUAGUUGCUAACGGUUCGGCCGAGCACUCUAAAUAGACUGCCUUCGUAAGGAGGAGGAAGGUGUGGACGACGUCAAGUCAUCAUGGCCCUUAUGCCCAGGGCGACACACGUGCUACAAUGGCAUAUACAAUGAGACGCAAUACCGCGAGGUGGAGCAAAUCUAUAAAAUAUGUCCCAGUUCGGAUUGUUCUCUGCAACUCGAGAGCAUGAAGCCGGAAUCGCUAGUAAUCGUAGAUCAGCCAUGCUACGGUGAAUACGUUCCCGGGUCUUGUACUCACCGCCCGUCACACCAUGGGAGUUGAUUUCACUCGAAGCCGGAAUACUAAACUAGUUACCGUCCACAGUGGAAUCAGCGACUGGGGUGAAGUCGUAACAAGGUAACCGUAGGAGAACCUGCGGUUGGAUCACCUCCUUUCUA
Molecule: ribosomal RNA, 676 nt
Filed under: Campylobacter jejuni
Lineage: Bacteria; Pseudomonadati; Campylobacterota; Epsilonproteobacteria; Campylobacterales; Campylobacteraceae
Description: bacterial SSU rRNA
Rfam family: Bacterial small subunit ribosomal RNA
Source: RNAcentral